This 501-nucleotide ribosomal RNA is filed under the name uncultured bacterium. RNAcentral's name for it is "partial 16S ribosomal RNA". It matches the Rfam family "Bacterial small subunit ribosomal RNA", at positions 30 to 523 of the family's 1533-position model. The record is from RNAcentral.
AUUGAACGCUGGCGGCAGGCUUAACACAUGCAAGUCGAGCGGAGCGAGGGUGCUUGCACCUUAGCUUAGCGGCGGACGGGUGAGUAAUGCUUAGGAAUCUGCCUAUUAGUGGGGGACAACAUUCCGAAAGGAAUGCUAAUACCGCAUACGCCCUACGGGGGAAAGCAGGGGAUCUUCGGACCUUGCGCUAAUAGAUGAGCCUAAGUCGGAUUAGCUAGUUGGUGGGGUAAAGGCCUACCAAGGCGACGAUCUGUAGCGGGUCUGAGAGGAUGAGCCGCCACACUGGGACUGAGACACGGCCCAGACUCCUACGGGAGGUAGCAGUGGGGAAUAUUGGACAAUGGGCGGAAGCCUGAUCCAGCCAUGCCGCGUGUGUGAAGAAGGCCUUUUGGUUGUAAAGCACUUUAAGCGAGGAGGAGGCUACUUAGAUUAAUACUCUGGGAUAGUGGACGUUACUCGCAGAAUAAGCACCGGCUAACUCUGUGCCAGCAGCCGCAGUAA